CAAUAGCGUAUAUUAAAGUUGUUGCGGUUAAAAGCUCGUAGUUGGAUUUCUGUCGAGGGGCGAUCGGUCCGCACUAUGUGCGUGUAUCUGUUAUCUCUUGGCAUCCUCUUGGGGAACGUUUCUGCGCUUGAUUGCGUGGGGCGGAAUUCAAGACUUUUACUUUGAGGAAAUUAGAGUGUUCACGGCAAGCAAUCGCUUUGAAUACAUUAGCAUGGAAUAAUAAUAUAGGGCGUAAGCUUUAUUUUGUUGGUUUCUAGAGCAUACGCAAUGAUUAAUAGGGAUAAUUGGGGGCAUUCGUAUUGAUGCGUCAGAGGUGGAAUUCUUAGAUUGCAUCACGACGAACUACUGCGAAAGCAUUUGCCAAGGAUGUUUUCAUUGAUCAAGAACGAAAGUAUGGGGAUCGAAGACGAUUAGAUACCG
This 420-nucleotide ribosomal RNA is filed under the name uncultured eukaryote. RNAcentral describes it as "SSU rRNA". It matches the Rfam family "Eukaryotic small subunit ribosomal RNA", at positions 592 to 1017 of the family's 1831-position model. The record is from RNAcentral.